AAGAAGUUGCUUUUGACAGAAGAGUUUGAGAAUGGAUUUCGGGCUGGAAAAAAAGCUGGAAAGCGUACAGUAUCGCUGGCCCAAAUGCUUGGGAAACCCACUGGUGAGUUGCAAUCAAGUCGGAAGGAUGAGAAAGAGAACGGACUUAAGCAUCAUCUCCCUAAAAAAAGGAAGAAGUUUGGUUUUGCUAAGAUCUCUCAUCUUGUGACUCAACAUUCUAAGAAAAAAAAGCAGCACUGCCAGCAUAAUGCAAGUUUGAGGUGUACAUCAGCUGAGUAAAUUAUUAUUUCCAACUCGGUUUAAACAAUGUGAAUAACUUAGGCAAGGACUACUAUCUUGGGAUUUAUCCAAUCUUGAUUGUGUU
RNAcentral lists this unclassified non-coding RNA (364 nucleotides) under Hevea brasiliensis (rubber tree). The record is from RNAcentral. Lineage: Eukaryota; Viridiplantae; Streptophyta; Magnoliopsida; Malpighiales; Euphorbiaceae.